AUUGAACGCUGGCGGCAUGCUUUACACAUGCAAGUCGAACGGUAACAGGUUAAGCUGACGAGUGGCGAACGGGUGAGUAAUGCAUCGGAACGUGCCCGGUCGUGGGGGAUAACGCAGCGAAAGCUGCGCUAAUACCGCAGACGAUCUGAGGAUGAAAGCGGGGGACCGUAAGGCCUCGCGCGAUCGGAGCGGCCGAUGUCGGAUUAGGUAGUUGGUGGGGUAAAGGCUAACCAAGCCAACGAUCUGUAGCUGGUCUGAGAGGACGACCAGCCACACUGGGACUGAGACACGGCCCAGACUGCUACGGGAGGCAGCAGUGGGGAAUUUUGGAAAAUGGGCGAAAGCCCGAUCCAGCAAUGCCGCGUGCAGGAAGAAGGCCUUCGUGUUGUAAACUGCUUUUGUACGGAGAGAAAAGGUCUCCUCUAAUAAAGGGGGCUCAUGACGGUACCGUAAGAAUAAGCACCGGCUAACUACGUGCCAGCAGCCGCCGUAA
This 493-nucleotide ribosomal RNA is filed under the name uncultured bacterium. Its description in RNAcentral is "partial 16S ribosomal RNA". It matches the Rfam family "Bacterial small subunit ribosomal RNA", at positions 29 to 523 of the family's 1533-position model. The record is from RNAcentral.